UUUGGAAUUUUAUUACUGAAAGAAAGACACAACCGGUGUCACCACGAACACAACAACAAGUCAGUUCGAGCUUGAAGAAGUAACAAGAGGAGGAGGAGCAGGAAGAUCACAACAACAAAAUGCCCCAAAGAAAGCACCACAAUCGCCUGAUGGAUGGCCUUCUUUUAUACAUGUACUGUUACAAUGAUGAGGGUCGAUGCAGAUUCCUUUGAAAGUGGCGCUCGGAUGAUCGCAAUGAAAAAUUAUCUUUUUGAUUGGAAAUUGAUGAUACCCAUCUGCAAACAUGGAAGAUGUGAAGAUGAAAAAGAUGAUGAGGACUAUUGUUGGGCUCAUUCCAAUUUCUGCCAUCGAUGAUGAUCG
Molecule: long non-coding RNA, 360 nt
Filed under: Zostera marina
Lineage: Eukaryota; Viridiplantae; Streptophyta; Magnoliopsida; Alismatales; Zosteraceae
Description: long non-coding RNA (ZMAR_LNC006073)
Source: RNAcentral